This 33-nucleotide transfer RNA is filed under the name Araucaria bernieri. RNAcentral describes it as "partial tRNA-Leu". RNAcentral also lists the same sequence under 1 other name. The record is from RNAcentral. Lineage: Eukaryota; Viridiplantae; Streptophyta; Pinopsida; Araucariales; Araucariaceae.
GCCGCCAUGGUGAAAUUGGUAGACACGCUGCUC